This 468-nucleotide ribosomal RNA is filed under the name uncultured bacterium. RNAcentral describes it as "partial 16S ribosomal RNA". It matches the Rfam family "Bacterial small subunit ribosomal RNA", at positions 28 to 507 of the family's 1533-position model. The record is from RNAcentral.
GACGAACGCUGGCGGCGUGCCUAAUACAUGCAAGUCGAGCGGACCGGACCGGCGCUUGCGCGUUGUCGGUUAGCGGAGGGCGGGUGAGUCACACGUGUAUAAUGUGCUCGUAUGUGCGAGAUCUUUACGGGACACGGGCGAUAAUAGCGUAUAACAUCGAAGUGCGCGGGGGGUUUGGGUGAGAGGCGGCGUCUGGGGCUGGAUUCGCGGGGUAUCGCCGCGUUGGUGGGGUAGUGGCUGGCCACGGCUAUGACGGGUAGCCGGCCUGAGAGGGUGACCGGCCACAGUGGGCUUGGGAUGCCGCCCGGACUGCUACGGGCGGCAGCAGUGGGGAAUAUUGCACACUGGGCGGAGGCCUGAUGCAGCAACGCCGCGUGGGGGAUGUCGGCCUUCGGGUUGUAAGCCGCUUUCGCCUGUGACGAAGCGUGAGUGACGGUAAUGGGUAAAGAAGCACCGGCUAACUACGUG